Molecule: unclassified non-coding RNA, 329 nt
Filed under: soil metagenome
Description: partial contains 5.8S ribosomal RNA, internal transcribed spacer 2, and large subunit ribosomal RNA
Rfam family: 5.8S ribosomal RNA (bases 1-120)
Source: RNAcentral
GAUGAAGAACGCAGCGAAAUGCGAUAAGUAGUGUGAAUUGCAGAAUUCAGUGAAUCAUCGAAUCUUUGAACGCACAUUGCGCCCCUUGGUAUCCCGAGGGGCAUGCCUGUUCGAGCGUCAUUUCACCACUCAAGCCUGGCUUGGUGUUGGGCGACGUCCCCUUUGGGGACGCGCCUCGAAACGCUCGGCGGCGUGGCACCGGCUUUAAGCGUAGCAGAAUCUUUCGCUUUGGAAGUCGGGGCCCCGUCUGCCGGAAGACCUUCUCGCAAGGUUGACCUCGGAUCAGGCAGGGAUACCCGCUGAACUUAAGCAUAUCAAUAAGCGGAGGA